Non-coding RNA from Rhodocyclales bacterium, 72 nucleotides. Lineage: Bacteria; Pseudomonadati; Pseudomonadota; Betaproteobacteria; Rhodocyclales. The record is from Rfam.
AACCGCCGGAUGCGGAACCGCACGUCCGGUGGUGUGGGAGGACGGCGGGGGUGACCCCGCCUCCUACCCGAU